AUCCGUCUGACAAGUCCUAGAUAGAACGAGACGCGCGUCUUGGAU
Molecule: non-coding RNA, 45 nt
Organism: Schistosoma margrebowiei
Lineage: Eukaryota; Metazoa; Platyhelminthes; Trematoda; Strigeidida; Schistosomatidae
Source: Rfam